GGGAGAAGGAACUCCAUCCAGUCCUAGGAAACAAGAUGUGCAAAGAUCAUAUGUAAGUAGAUCAUGUUAGCUGGCAGAAACUUAAAGCCAGUAUGUGUAAAGUGGGGAGACUGAGGGAUGUAGGAAAUAAUUUUGGACACAUAAGUGGGGUUGCUGAAGCAUGAAAUGAAAUAACCCAUAUAACAGGUUUAGUAGAGAACUUUCCUAAUGGCAAAAUCUAACAAGUAUUGUUUCUACCAUUGACUGAAAAGUAUAAUGUCUGCUCACAAAAGUCUGGUAAAUAACAAAUCAUUUUCCUUUUAUAGAAGCGUGUUAAAGAAGGAGAAAUCAAGUAAUUUUCAAUCUAAAUUGGAGGAGCCAAGGAUUCUUCUCAGUGAGCUUUUCUGUGGUUCUGGACAAUUCUUACCCAACAUUUUAUUAAUUAUUGAAGACAUCAGAUUCCAGAAUAAGGAUGAUCACAGAACCUAAAUGUUAUCACAUCUCUGAAAAGCAUCGGCAUCGGCACUGGACCAGAAUCGCUGAAGUCAAUUUGCAGUCAGAAGGACUGAGUAGAAAGCCAGCUCUUCUGCUUAGUCAUGUGACCCUGGACAGCAUCUCACAGGAGGUACCGUUUUCUUAUCUGAAAGUUGGAAAAAAUAAAAUACCUGUGAGAACUACAUAAGCUAAUAUGUGAGAGGGUGUUUAGCACAUAGCAACAUACAGGUAAAUUCCCCUUGGUUCUAAACAGUAGAGCUAUAUCAGAGGUUAUAAAUCAGGUAUGCGUGUACCCUACAUGGGGCUGUGUUGCAGCAGCAGAGCAUAUCUGUUUAUGCAUAUCAUGCAAGUAAGUAAUCUUGUUUGCAACAUUAUUAAAAGUGUUUAUUUCUAGCGCAUUACACAGGUGUCCAGCCUUAUACAUCUAUAAGAAUCACAUGAUCCUGCAGAAAUAUAUUCAAAGGCAGCCUCACUUGCUAUUGAUCACACUCAGCUGAGAGGCAAGCAUAUAAUGGUCAUCAUAUACUUUUGUGUGUCUGAAAAAAAGUGUAUACUAAAUUUAAACAUUAAAAUAUUUUUAGGCUGAGUAUCAUUACAUUUCACAUUUCUUUGGAUUUUCCUCUUCUAGAGAUUCCUCCUAGAGGUUUUCUCCUACAUUCUAAUUUUCUCUGAAUGUUGUGUUUAAAGUCAAUGGCUUAGCACCAGGCCCUCUCUGUUUCAUGUGUGAUUAUUUUGUCUUCUGAAACCUAAGCCCCAGAAAUAGGUCUUGUGUCUCACAUUCUUUCAAUUCCC
RNAcentral lists this long non-coding RNA (1266 nucleotides) under Papio anubis (olive baboon). RNAcentral's name for it is "lncRNA (ENSPANG00000038439.1)". The record is from RNAcentral. Lineage: Eukaryota; Metazoa; Chordata; Mammalia; Primates; Cercopithecidae.